Molecule: transfer RNA, 74 nt
Filed under: Chloroflexota bacterium
Lineage: Bacteria; Bacillati; Chloroflexota
Also listed under: 1 other name
Description: Chloroflexi bacterium (cold seep metagenome) tRNA-Phe
Rfam family: tRNA
About the family: Transfer RNA (tRNA) molecules are approximately 80 nucleotides in length. Their secondary structure includes four short double-helical elements and three loops (D, anti-codon, and T loops). Further hydrogen bonds mediate the characteristic L-shaped molecular structure. tRNAs have two regions of fundamental functional importance: the anti-codon, which is responsible for specific mRNA codon recognition, and the 3' end, to which the tRNAs corresponding amino acid is attached (by aminoacyl-tRNA synthetases). tRNAs cope with the degeneracy of the genetic code in two manners: having more than one tRNA (with a specific anti-codon) for a particular amino acid; and 'wobble' base-pairing, i.e. permitting non-standard base-pairing at the 3rd anti-codon position.
Source: RNAcentral
GCCGGGGUAGCUCAGUUGGUAGACGCGCCGCACUGAAGACGCGGAGGUCGCCGGUUCGAUUCCGGCCUCCGGCA